This 329-nucleotide unclassified non-coding RNA is filed under the name soil metagenome. Its description in RNAcentral is "partial contains 5.8S ribosomal RNA, internal transcribed spacer 2, and large subunit ribosomal RNA". The stretch from base 1 to 120 matches the Rfam family "5.8S ribosomal RNA", at positions 35 to 154 of the family's 154-position model. The record is from RNAcentral.
GAUGAAGAACGCAGCGAAUUGCGAUAAGUAAUGUGAAUUGCAGAAUUCAGUGAAUCAUCGAAUCUUUGAACGCACAUUGCGCCCCUUGGUAUUCCGAGGGGCAUGCCUGUUCGAGCGUCAUUAUAACCCCUCAAGCUCAGCUUGGUGUUGGGGCCUGCUGCACUGGCAGCCCUUAAAAUCAGUGGCGGCGCCAUCUGGCUCUAAGCGUAGUAAUUCUUCUCGCUAUGGAGUCCUGGUGGAUGCUUGCCAUCAACCCCCAAUUUUUCUAUGGUUGACCUCGGAUCAGGUAGGGAUACCCGCUGAACUUAAGCAUAUCAAUAAGCGGAGGA